RNAcentral lists this ribosomal RNA (463 nucleotides) under uncultured bacterium. Its description in RNAcentral is "partial 16S ribosomal RNA". It matches the Rfam family "Bacterial small subunit ribosomal RNA", at positions 28 to 507 of the family's 1533-position model. The record is from RNAcentral.
GACGAACGCUGGCGGCGUGCUUAACACAUGCAAGUCGAACGGAAAGGCCUUUUCGGAGGUACUCGAGUGGCGAACGGGGGCGUAACACGUGGGUGAUCUGCCCUGCACUCUGGGAUAAGCCUGGGAAACUGGGUCUAAUACCGGAUAGGACCGCACUUUAGUGUGUGUGGUGGAAAGAUUUUUCGGUGUAGGAUGAGCCCGCGGCCUAUCAGCUUGGUGGUGGGGUAAUGGCCUACCAAGGCGGCGACGGGUAGCCGGACUGAGAGGUUGGUCGGCGACAUUGGGCCUGAGACACGGCCCAGACGCCUACGGGAGUCAGCAGUGGGGAAUGUUGCACAAUGGGCGCCAGCCUGAUGCAGCGACGCCGCGUGGGGGAUGACGGCCUUCGGGUUGUAAACGCCUUUCGCCAGGGACGAAGCGUUUUGUGACGGUACCUGGAGAAGAAGCACCGGCUAACUACGUG